UCCUACGGGACGCAGCAGUGAGGAAUAUUGGUCAAUGGGCGGGAGCCUGAACCAGCCAAGCCGCGUGAGGGAAGAAGGUACAGCGUAUCGUAAACCUCUUUUGUCAGGGAACAAAGGCGGGGACUAGUCCCCGGAUGAGGGUACCUGAAGAAAAAGCAUCGGCUAACUCCGUGCCAGCAGCCGCGGUAAUACGGAGGAUGCGAGCGUUAUCCGGAUUUAUUGGGCGUAAAGGGAACGCAGGCGGUCUUUUAAGUCUGAUGUGAAAGCCUUCGGCUUAACCGGAGGAGUGCAUUGGAAACUGGGAG
This 305-nucleotide ribosomal RNA is filed under the name uncultured bacterium. RNAcentral describes it as "bacterial SSU rRNA". It matches the Rfam family "Bacterial small subunit ribosomal RNA", at positions 337 to 639 of the family's 1533-position model. The record is from RNAcentral.